ACGAACGCUGGCGGCGUGCCUAAUACAUGCAAGUAGCACGCUGAAGAGAGGAGCUUGCUCUUCUUGGAUGAGUUGCGAACGGGUGAGUAACGCGUAGGUAACCUGCCUUGUAGCGGGGGAUAACUAUUGGAAACGAUAGCUAAUACCGCAUAACAAUGGAUGACACAUGUCAUUUAUUUGAAAGGGGCAAUUGCUCCACUACAAGAUGGACCUGCGUUGUAUUAGCUAGUAGGUGAGGUAAUGGCUCACCUAGGCGACGAUACAUAGCCGACCUGAGAGGGUGAUCGGCCACACUGGGACUGAGACACGGCCCAGACUCCUACGGGAGGCAGCAGUAGGGAAUCUUCGGCAAUGGGGGCAACCCUGACCGAGCAACGCCGCGUGAGUGAAGAAGGUUUUCGGAUCGUAAAGUUCUGUUGUAAGUCAAGAACGGGUGUGAGAGUGGAAAGUUCACACUGUGACGGUAGCUUACCAGAAAGGGACGGCUAACUACGUG
Molecule: ribosomal RNA, 496 nt
Filed under: uncultured bacterium
Lineage: Bacteria
Description: partial 16S ribosomal RNA
Rfam family: Bacterial small subunit ribosomal RNA
Source: RNAcentral